CCUACGGGCGGCAGCAGUGGGGAAUAUUGCACAAUGGGCGCAAGCCUGAUGCAGCCAUGCCGCGUGUGUGAAGAAGGCCUUCGGGUUGUAAAGCACUUUCAGCGGAGAGGAAGGCGGUGAGGUUAAUAACCUCAUCGAUUGACGUUACCCGCAGAAGAAGCACCGGCUAACUCCGUGCCAGCAGCCGCGGUAAUACGGAGGGUGCAAGCGUUAAUCGGAAUUACUGGGCGUAAAGCGCACGCAGGCGGUCUGUCAAGUCGGAUGUGAAAUCCCCGGGCUCAACCUGGGAACUGCAUUCGAAACUGGCAGGCUAGAGUCUUGUAGAGGGGGGUAGAAUUCCAGGUGUAGCGGUGAAAUGCGUAGAGAUCUGGAGGAAUACCGGUGGCGAAGGCGGCCCCCUGGACAAAGACUGACGCUCAGGUGCGAAAGCGUGGGGAGCAAACAGGAUUAGAUACCCUAGUAGUC
Molecule: ribosomal RNA, 465 nt
Filed under: uncultured Klebsiella sp.
Lineage: Bacteria; Pseudomonadati; Pseudomonadota; Gammaproteobacteria; Enterobacterales; Enterobacteriaceae
Description: bacterial SSU rRNA
Rfam family: Bacterial small subunit ribosomal RNA
Source: RNAcentral